Seriola aureovittata is the source of this 450-nucleotide long non-coding RNA. RefSeq lists it as uncharacterized. NCBI's taxonomy places the organism in Eukaryota, Metazoa, Chordata, Actinopteri, Carangiformes, Carangidae. The record is from RefSeq and is a predicted model, not a curated record. The transcript has 4 exons.
CCUGUGCCUGCUCCUCUGUCAACUCCCCGUUUAUACUCUCUCUUCUUCUCUCUGUCUCUGUCCUUGUUGCCUGUCUCACUUCUGUCCAGGUGUUUGAAAGCAGCAGCAGCAGCAGCAGCGUAGAAUACAACAUUAAGAAAAACAAGAUCAAACAUCACAUCCUCGUGAGAGAUGGAAGAAAAGAAGGGAGGAGAAAAGGAAGGAGGGGAGAAUGGAAGCUGAGAGAGACUUAUGUCACCACACUUGAGGAGGACAGCAGCCUUAUAACACAAAGUCUUGCCACGUGUAACCGCAGGCUCCGGGUGAAAUGAGUCCCUGUGCAGGUUUUGUCUUCCUGAGGAUCUCCGGGGCUCUGCGGGGUCAGCCGAGGCCCUUCCUCCAAACUCUCAUCUGGGCUCUCCACUGUCAACCCUGACACCUCAUCCAGGAUGUCUUCUACAGGGACAAAGG